ACGAGCCUAAGAGAGAAGAGAGACGGUCUGGGAUUGGCUGAGCUGGACCAUUGCCUCUUUUCUCAACCAAUAGGAGUCUUCGCUUCACCUGACCACCACCACCACCUUCACAACCUUCUCCCGCAGACGACCACAGCUAAGUCAAAAAGGUCAGGAUGGCAGGCGACGCUGGUGUUGGCUCCUCUGAGUUCAAGGGCUUGUCCAAGUUCUUCAACAGCUCUACCAUAGCAGGGAGAGCCAAUGUGGGCAAGGCAACGUAUGCCGUGCUUGGUCUCGUCAUCCUGUACAAUGUCAUGAAGCCCAAGAAGAAGUAACUCUUUAAGGUUGAUGUAAAUACAUAUUAUAUUAAAAUGUAGAUAAUAA
Portunus trituberculatus (swimming crab) is the source of this 363-nucleotide long non-coding RNA. RefSeq lists it as uncharacterized. The transcript has 3 exons. The record is from RefSeq and is a predicted model, not a curated record. Lineage: Eukaryota; Metazoa; Arthropoda; Malacostraca; Decapoda; Portunidae.